Chiloscyllium plagiosum (whitespotted bambooshark) is the source of this 693-nucleotide non-coding RNA. NCBI's taxonomy places the organism in Eukaryota, Metazoa, Chordata, Chondrichthyes, Orectolobiformes, Hemiscylliidae. The record is from RefSeq and is a predicted model, not a curated record.
GCUGCAAAAGCCCCAAACAACAUUGGUGCUGAGAAGAAAGGAGACCACCCCUGUUCCAUGUCAAAGCUCCAAAUGGCUCCCUCUCAGAAAGAACUUCAUACAGCUGUACAUGUGUUCAGCAACAGGAAGAAGAAUCUGAACCCCCACCAGUGCUGUUUAAAGGUAUCAUCCACUACUUUCAGGCUUUAAGAGCAGACAAGAUUUCAGGGUGAUUUGACCAGUCUCUGGAUUGGAAUAAGGUUCCCCAAAUUAUUACUGUUCCAGGAAGGAUACUCCGAAUUGUCGAGCUGCUGGCUGAGGAGGGACGAACUGCUCAACUCCUUUUUCACUUUACCCCUCAGUUGGUAACAAGAAGGUUAAUUAACAAGGACCUCUCUUGUGGAUAAUUAAAAGAAUCUCUGAGAAUUCAACAACUCUGAUGAAAACUUAUGUCUGUUUAUUAUGAUUGUUAAUUGUAAGCCCUGAAAGAGUAAUCACUGCAUUGUGCUGAUCCCUGUCCCAGUGAUUUCUAUGUUCUUUUCACAUACAGUUAGAAGGUAAAUGCAUUUUGCACAAAAGUCUAAAUACACGUUAGCACCUGAAAAACAUUAAUUAUCAAGGAUCUCAAAGAACUUGAGUAGAUUUGCUGUCUAUGCUCAUGUCAGACAAGGUACUUCUGGGAAGAUAGAUGGAGUCAGCUUAGCAGAAAAAUUG